AAACGUAGGGGGCAAGCGUUGUCCGGAAUUACUGGGCGUACAGAGCGCGUAGGCGGCCUGUCAAGCGGAGGGUGAAAUCCCGGAGCUCAACUUCGGAACCGCUUUCCGAACUGGCAGGCUAGAGUAUGGGAGAGGGUAGUGGAAUUCCUGGUGUAGCGGUGGAAUGCGUAAAUAUCAGGAGGAACACCAGUGGCGAAGGCUGCUACCUGGAACAUUACUGACGCUGAGGCGCGAAAGCUAGGGGAGCGAACGGGAUUAGAUACCCCGGUAGUCCUAGCCGUAAACGAUGGACACUAGGUGUUGGAGGAUCGACCCCUUCAGUGCUGUUCUGUUAACGCGUUAAGUGUCCCGCCUGGGGAGUACGGCCGCAAGGCUAAA
RNAcentral lists this ribosomal RNA (378 nucleotides) under uncultured bacterium. RNAcentral's name for it is "bacterial SSU rRNA". It matches the Rfam family "Bacterial small subunit ribosomal RNA", at positions 523 to 898 of the family's 1533-position model. The record is from RNAcentral.